UACGUAGGGGGGCAAGCGUUGUCCGGAAUCAUUGGGCGUAAAGCGCGCGUAGGCGGCCCGGUAAGUCCGUUGUAAAAGUCAAAGGCUCAACCUUUGAAAGCCGAUGGAUACUGCCGGGCUAGAAUCCGGAAGAGGCGAGUGGAAUUCCUGGUGUAGCGGUGGAAUGCGCAGAUAUCAGGAGGAACACCAACAGCGAAGGCAGCUCGCUGGGACGGUAUUGACGCUGAGGCGCGAAAGCGUGGGGAGCGAACAGG
This 254-nucleotide ribosomal RNA is filed under the name uncultured bacterium. Its description in RNAcentral is "partial 16S ribosomal RNA". It matches the Rfam family "Bacterial small subunit ribosomal RNA", at positions 524 to 776 of the family's 1533-position model. The record is from RNAcentral.